RNAcentral lists this ribosomal RNA (503 nucleotides) under Sinothela sp. 1 XX-2018. RNAcentral's name for it is "partial 16S ribosomal RNA". It matches the Rfam family "Bacterial large subunit ribosomal RNA", at positions 1790 to 2625 of the family's 2925-position model. The record is from RNAcentral. Lineage: Eukaryota; Metazoa; Arthropoda; Arachnida; Araneae; Liphistiidae.
CCAUGGCGCCUGUUUAUCAAAAACAUGGUUUUUUGGGUGAAUAAAAAAUCUAACCUGCUCGGUGCUUAGGUAAAUGGCCGCAGUAAUUUGACUGUGCUAAGGUAGCAUAAUCAUUUGUCUUUUAAAUGGGGGCUUGUAUGAAAGGUUGGUCGAAGGAAAGACUGUCUCUUUAUUAGUUAAUGAAUUUAAUUAAUAGGUAAAAAGGCUAAUAUUAUUCUGAGGGACGAUAAGACCCUAUUGAGCUUAAUUUAAUAAUUUUACUGGGGAGGUAGUAUAAGAGUAUGAUCUUAUUUACGAGGAUAAUAAUGUUAGGACCCAAUAUUAUUGAGGGAAAGAUAAAGCUACCAUAGGGAUAACAGCUUAAUUUUUUUCUAAAGUUCUUAUUUAGAAAAAAGAUUGAGACCUCGAUGUUGAAUUAAGAUGUCUUUUAGGUGAAGAAGCUUAAAAAGAGAGUCUGUUCGACUCUUAAAAUUUUACGUGAUCUGAGUUCAGACCGGCCAUGG